UACGUAGGUGGCAAGCGUUAUCCGGAUUUAUUGGGUGUAAAGGGCGUGUAGGCGGGAGCGCAAGCCAGAUGUGAAAACUCAGGGCUCAACCCUGAGCCUGCAUUUGAAACUGUGUUUCUUGAGUGCUGGAGAGGCAAUCGGAAUUCCGUGUGUAGCGGUGAAAUGCGUAGAUAUACGGAGGAACACCAGUGGCGAAGGCGGAUUGCUGGACAGUAACUGACGCUGAGGCGCGAAAGCGUGGGGAGCAAACAGG
RNAcentral lists this ribosomal RNA (253 nucleotides) under uncultured bacterium. RNAcentral describes it as "partial 16S ribosomal RNA". It matches the Rfam family "Bacterial small subunit ribosomal RNA", at positions 524 to 776 of the family's 1533-position model. The record is from RNAcentral.